Molecule: ribosomal RNA, 576 nt
Filed under: uncultured bacterium
Lineage: Bacteria
Description: partial 16S ribosomal RNA
Rfam family: Bacterial small subunit ribosomal RNA
Source: RNAcentral
UGGGGAAUUUUGGACAAUGGGCGAAAGCCUGAUCCAGCAAUGCCGCGUGUGUGAAGAAGGCCUUCGGGUUGUAAAGCACUUUUGUCCGGAAAGAAAUCCUUGGCUCUAAUACAGUCGGGGGAUGACGGUACCGGAAGAAUAAGCACCGGCUAACUACGUGCCAGCAGCCGCGGUAAUACGUAGGGUGCAAGCGUUAAUCGGAAUUACUGGGCGUAAAGCGUGCGCAGGCGGUUUGCUAAGACCGAUGUGAAAUCCCCGGGCUCAACCUGGGAACUGCAUUGGUGACUGGCAGGCUAGAGUAUGGCAGAGGGGGGUAGAAUUCCACGUGUAGCAGUGAAAUGCGUAGAGAUGUGGAGGAAUACCGAUGGCGAAGGCAGCCCCCUGGGCCAAUACUGACGCUCAUGCACGAAAGCGUGGGGAGCAAACAGGAUUAGAUACCCUGGUAGUCCACGCCCUAAACGAUGUCAACUAGUUGUUGGGGAUUCAUUUCCUUAGUAACGUAGCUAACGCGUGAAGUUGACCGCCUGGGGAGUACGGUCGCAAGAUUAAAACUCAAAUGAAUUGACGGGGUCAUAG